Molecule: ribosomal RNA, 205 nt
Filed under: uncultured Actinomycetales bacterium
Lineage: Bacteria; Bacillati; Actinomycetota; Actinomycetes; Actinomycetales
Description: partial 16S ribosomal RNA
Rfam family: Bacterial small subunit ribosomal RNA
Source: RNAcentral
CCUUGGAUGAGCCCGCGGCCUAUCAGCUUGUUGGUGGGGUGAUGGCCUACCAAGGCGACGACGGGUAGCCGGCCUGAGAGGGCGACCGGCCACACUGGGACUGAGACACGGCCCCGACUCGUACUGGAGGCAGCAGUGGGGAAUAUUGCACAAUGGGCGCAAGCCUGAUGCAGAGACCCCGCGUGAGGGAUGACCGCCUUCGGGU